This 365-nucleotide ribosomal RNA is filed under the name Coilia mystus (Osbeck's grenadier anchovy). RNAcentral's name for it is "partial 12S ribosomal RNA". It matches the Rfam family "Bacterial small subunit ribosomal RNA", at positions 779 to 1345 of the family's 1533-position model. The record is from RNAcentral. Lineage: Eukaryota; Metazoa; Chordata; Actinopteri; Clupeiformes; Engraulidae.
UAGAUACCCCACUAUGCCCAGCCAUAAACCUUGAUACUCUUAUACAAUUAGUAUCCGCCAGGGAACUACGAGCACCAGCUUAAAACCCAAAGGACUAGGCGGUGCCUCAGACCCCCCUAGAGGAGCCUGUUCUAGAACCGAUAACCCCCGUUAAACCUCACCACUUCUUGCCUAUUCCGCCUAUAUACCACCGUCGCCAGCUUACCCUGUGAAGGGAAAAAAGUAAGCAAAAUGGAAACUUUCCAAAACGUCAGGUCGAGGUGUAGCACACGAAGUGGGAAGAAAUGGGCUACAUUACCUGACACAGGACAUUCACGGAAAGUCACCUGAAACGGUAAUUCAAAGGUGGAUUUAGCAGUAAAAGA